RNAcentral lists this unclassified non-coding RNA (271 nucleotides) under uncultured fungus. Its description in RNAcentral is "partial contains small subunit ribosomal RNA, internal transcribed spacer 1, and 5.8S ribosomal RNA". The stretch from base 1 to 73 matches the Rfam family "Eukaryotic small subunit ribosomal RNA", at positions 1759 to 1831 of the family's 1831-position model. Lineage: Eukaryota; Fungi. The record is from RNAcentral.
GCAAACUUGGUCAUUUAGAGGAAGUAAAAGUCGUAACAAGGUUUCCGUAGGUGAACCUGCGGAAGGAUCAUUAUUGUAGGGGUCUAACAAGCCCACUGCGAGAUGCAACCCUUGCUCUUUAGCGCAAUGUUUUGUUUUCCUCGGCAGCCUCGCCUGCCAAUAGGGGACCCUUAGAAACCUUUGCAAUCUCAGCAUAACUGUCAGAAACGCUUCAAAAAUCACAACUUUCAACAAUGGAUCUCUUGGCUCCAGCAUCGAUGAAGAACGCAGC